Molecule: transfer RNA, 68 nt
Filed under: Actornithophilus hoplopteri
Lineage: Eukaryota; Metazoa; Arthropoda; Insecta; Psocodea; Menoponidae
Description: tRNA-Leu
Source: RNAcentral
UCCAACUAUGGCAGAUUAGUGCAGUGAGCUUAAGACUCACAAAUGAAGGUCUUUUUCUUCUGUUGGAA